UCCGGUUUGGCACCGGCAGUCUUCCUAGAGUCCCCGCCAUUACGCGCUGGCAACAUGCGACGGGGGUUGCGCUCGUUGCGGGACUUAACCCAACAUCUCACGACACGAGCUGACGACAGCCAUGCACCACCUGUGAAAGUGCCCCGAAGGGAGACCGUGUUUCCACGGCUGUCACUCACAUGUCAAACCCAGGUAAGGUUCUUCGCGUUGCGUCGAAUUAAACCACAUGCUCCGCUGCUUGUGCGGGUCCCCGUCAAUUCCUUUGAGUUUUAGCCUUGCGGCCGUACUCCCCAGGCGGGCCACUUAAUGCGUUAGCGCCGGCACGGGGGGAGUCGACACCCCCCACACCUAGUGGCCAUCGUUUACGGCGUGGACUAC
RNAcentral lists this unclassified non-coding RNA (378 nucleotides) under uncultured Actinomycetes bacterium. Its description in RNAcentral is "uncultured actinobacterium contains 16S-23S intergenic spacer region". The record is from RNAcentral. Lineage: Bacteria; Bacillati; Actinomycetota; Actinomycetes.